AAGAGAGAGAUCGCCAGGCCCCCUCCCAGUUACACUCCCUACAAGCCCACCUGACCUGAGGUGUCCCUCUGAAGAGUCCCUGAGCCUGCUUGCACCCCCUAGAGGGACUCCACAGCCAUGUCCUGGUUGCACUGAGCCUGCCUCCUGCCAGCAUUUUGGGGCUCUGUCCCUGCCCAGCUCCUGGACCCACUCCCCAGCCUAUUCCUCACCCCAGCCUGCACCGAAGUGACUCCUCAAGCUUCAGGACUCAGUGGGGCACAGUGGCAGUCACGUGCAUGCUGGGACCGAGACGGACGGGCCGCAGCUCCCCCUGCCACGCCCCCGGCCCCCAGAGGCCCGGCUGUUUGCCUCCCGGAGCCGUCUGACCCAGGUAGGGGGAGAUGGAGGUAGGCUCUCCCUCGUUGUGUCUCUGCAGUGGGUGGGAGGACUCUAAGA
Molecule: long non-coding RNA, 435 nt
Filed under: Bos indicus x Bos taurus (hybrid cattle)
Lineage: Eukaryota; Metazoa; Chordata; Mammalia; Artiodactyla; Bovidae
Description: lncRNA (ENSBIXG00000012978.1)
Source: RNAcentral